RNAcentral lists this ribosomal RNA (1327 nucleotides) under Microbacterium sp. RNAcentral's name for it is "bacterial SSU rRNA". It matches the Rfam family "Bacterial small subunit ribosomal RNA", at positions 89 to 1427 of the family's 1533-position model. The record is from RNAcentral. Lineage: Bacteria; Bacillati; Actinomycetota; Actinomycetes; Micrococcales; Microbacteriaceae.
GGAUCAGUGGCGAACGGGUGAGUAACACGUGAGCAACCUGCCCCGGACUCUGGGAUAAGCGCUGGAAACGGCGUCUAAUACUGGAUACGAGCUGCGAAGGCAUCUUCAGCAGCUGGAAAGAAUUUCGGUCUGGGAUGGGCUCGCGGCCUAUCAGCUUGUUGGUGAGGUAAUGGCUCACCAAGGCGUCGACGGGUAGCCGGCCUGAGAGGGUGACCGGCCACACUGGGACUGAGACACGGCCCAGACUCCUACGGGAGGCAGCAGUGGGGAAUAUUGCACAAUGGGCGGAAGCCUGAUGCAGCAACGCCGCGUGAGGGAUGACGGCCUUCGGGUUGUAAACCUCUUUUAGCAGGGAAGAAGCGAAAGUGACGGUACCUGCAGAAAAAGCGCCGGCUAACUACGUGCCAGCAGCCGCGGUAAUACGUAGGGCGCAAGCGUUAUCCGGAAUUAUUGGGCGUAAAGAGCUCGUAGGCGGUCUGUCGCGUCUGCUGUGAAAACCCGAGGCUCAACCUCGGGCCUGCAGUGGGUACGGGCAGACUAGAGUGCGGUAGGGGAGAUUGGAAUUCCCUGGUGUAGCGGUGGAAUGCGCAGAUAUCAGGAGGAACACCGAUGGCGAAGGCAGAUCUCUGGGCCGUAACUGACGCUGAGGAGCGAAAGGGUGGGGAGCAAACAGGCUUAGAUACCCUGGUAGUCCACCCCGUAAACGUUGGGAACUAGUUGUGGGGUCCUUUCCACGGAUUCCGUGACGCAGCUAACGCAUUAAGUUCCCCGCCUGGGGAGUACGGCCGCAAGGCUAAAACUCAAAGGAAUUGACGGGGACCCGCACAAGCGGCGGAGCAUGCGGAUUAAUUCGAUGCAACGCGAAGAACCUUACCAAGGCUUGACAUACACGAGAACGCUGCAGAAAUGUAGAACUCUUUGGACACUCGUGAACAGGUGGUGCAUGGUUGUCGUCAGCUCGUGUCGUGAGAUGUUGGGUUAAGUCCCGCAACGAGCGCAACCCUCGUUCUAUGUUGCCAGCACGUAAUGGUGGGAACUCAUGGGAUACUGCCGGGGUCAACUCGGAGGAAGGUGGGGAUGACGUCAAAUCAUCAUGCCCCUUAUGUCUUGGGCUUCACGCAUGCUACAAUGGCCGGUACAAAGGGCUGCAAUACCGUGAGGUGGAGCGAAUCCCAAAAAGCCGGUCCCAGUUCGGAUUGAGGUCUGCAACUCGACCUCAUGAAGUCGGAGUCGCUAGUAAUCGCAGAUCAGCAACGCUGCGGUGAAUACGUUCCCGGGUCUUGUACACACCGCCCGUCAAGUCAUGAAAGUCGGUAACACCUGAAGC